AUUUUGCCCUGCCUUGCCUUUCCUACAGAUACUCCCUUAAAGGCCGUAGCGUAAGUGCUAACCACACUCCUGUCAACUGCCUCCUGAUCAAAACCUGACGUUCUUCCUGUGGCCCUGCCUGAGGAAAGCAACAUCUUGAAUCAGAAUUGUUCUUACUUGGCUCAGCAACUGAUAACAGAGAUUAAGGAGGAAACAAUCAUGAAACACUACAUAAUCAGAAAUAAUGACCAAAAAUGGGAUGAAUCUCAUUAAAACCUCUACCUGUGCAAAGAAGAAACUUAUAAAAAAAAAUUAGCCUUUACUCUUGUGCCUUUUCAACCAUUAUUUUUCAUCAUUGUGACUGCCUUUUACUUUUUAAAAUCUAAAGUUUCUUCUAUCCAAAGUCAGUGAAAUAUUCCAAUAAAUUAAAGAUAAAUUCAGGAUUAUAGGUUGAGCUAGAAACUCCUUUUUUUUUUUUUUUUUAAAGUAAUCUCUACCCCUAACUCAGGCAUUGAAUUCAUGACCCCAAGACCAAGAGUUGCAUGCUUUACUGACUGAGCCAGCCAGGAGCCCUA
Molecule: long non-coding RNA, 554 nt
Filed under: Mustela putorius furo (domestic ferret)
Lineage: Eukaryota; Metazoa; Chordata; Mammalia; Carnivora; Mustelidae
Description: lncRNA (ENSMPUG00000028132.1)
Source: RNAcentral